RNAcentral lists this ribosomal RNA (85 nucleotides) under Spirochaetota bacterium. Lineage: Bacteria; Pseudomonadati; Spirochaetota. The record is from RNAcentral.
UCCCAUUCCGAACACAGAAGUUAAGCCUCUCAUCGCUGAUGGUACUGCAUGGGUGACCGUGUGGGAGAGUAGGUCGCUGCCGGGA